RNAcentral lists this transfer RNA (69 nucleotides) under Bos taurus (domestic cattle). It matches the Rfam family "tRNA". Rfam says of the family: Transfer RNA (tRNA) molecules are approximately 80 nucleotides in length. Their secondary structure includes four short double-helical elements and three loops (D, anti-codon, and T loops). The record is from Rfam by way of RNAcentral. Lineage: Eukaryota; Metazoa; Chordata; Mammalia; Artiodactyla; Bovidae. RNAcentral also lists the same sequence under 1 other name.
CCUGGUGGCUCACUUGGUAAAGAAUCUGCCUGCAAUGCAGAAGACCUGGGUUCAAUCCCUGGGUCAGGA